Molecule: microRNA precursor, 76 nt
Organism: Anolis carolinensis (green anole)
Lineage: Eukaryota; Metazoa; Chordata; Lepidosauria; Squamata; Anolidae
Rfam family: mir-216 microRNA precursor family
Source: Rfam
AAUUGGUUUAAUCUCAGCUGGCAACUGUGAGCAGUUUCCAAAUCCUCUCACAGUGGUUUCUGGGAUUAUGCUAAAC